GAUGAACGCUGGCGGCGUGCUUAACACAUGCAAGUCGAACGAGAAAUGGAGACGGAAACCUUCGGGCGGAAGGCUUCAUUUCGAGUGGCGGACGGGUGAGUAACGCGUGGGUAACCUGCCUCAUACAGGGGGAUAACAGUUGGAAACGACUGUUAAUACCGCAUAAGACCACAGCACCGCAUGGUGCGGGGGUAAAAACUCCGGUGGUAUGAGAUGGACCCGCGUUCGAUUAGCCAGUUGGCGGGGUAACGGCCCACCAAAGCGACGAUCGAUAGCCGAUCUGAGAGGAUGACCGGCCACAUUGGGACUGAGACACGGCCCAAACUCCUACGGGAAGCAGCAGUGGGGAAUAUUGCACAAUGGGGGAAACCCUGAUGCAGCGACGCCGCGUGAGUGAAGAAGUACUUCGGUAUGUAAAGCUCUAUCAGCAGGGAAGAAAAUGACGGUACCUGAGUAAGAAGCCCCGGCUAACUACGUG
RNAcentral lists this ribosomal RNA (478 nucleotides) under uncultured bacterium. Its description in RNAcentral is "partial 16S ribosomal RNA". It matches the Rfam family "Bacterial small subunit ribosomal RNA", at positions 28 to 507 of the family's 1533-position model. The record is from RNAcentral.